GACGAACGCUGGCGGCGUGCCUAAUACAUGCAAGUUGAGCGCUGAAGGUUGGUACUUGUCCCAACUGGAUGAGCAGCGAACGGGUGAGUAACGCGUGGGGAAUCUGCCUUUGAGCGGGGGACAACAUUUGGAAACGAAUGCUAAUACCGCAUAAAAACUUUAAACACAAGUUUUAAGUUUGAAAGAUGCAAUUGCAUCACUCAAAGAUGAUCCCGCGUUGUAUUAGCUAGUUGGUGAGGUAAAGGCUCACCAAGGCGAUGAUACAUAGCCGACCUGAGAGGGUGAUCGGCCACAUUGGGACUGAGACACGGCCCAAACGCCUACGGGAGGCAGCAGUAGGGAAUCUUCGGCAAUGGACGAAAGUCUGACCGAGCAACGCCGAGUGAGUGAAGAAGGUUUUCGGAUCGUAAAACUCUGUUGGUAGAGAAGAACGUUGGUGAGAGUGGAAAGCUCAUCAAGUGACGGUAACUACCCAGAAAGGGACGGCUAACUACGUG
This 497-nucleotide ribosomal RNA is filed under the name uncultured bacterium. RNAcentral's name for it is "partial 16S ribosomal RNA". It matches the Rfam family "Bacterial small subunit ribosomal RNA", at positions 28 to 507 of the family's 1533-position model. The record is from RNAcentral.